AAUGAACGCUGGCGGCGCGCCUAAUACAUGCAAGUCGAGCGAGAAGACGUAGCAAUACGUUUGUAAAGCGGCGAACGGGUGAGGAAUACAUGGGUAACCUACCCUCGAGUGGGGAAUAACUAGCCGAAAGGUUAGCUAAUACCGCGUACGCUUCUUGGACUUCGGUUCAGGGAGGAAAGCGAUGCCGAGGGUAUCGCGCUCUUGGAUGGGCUCGUGUCCCAUCAGCUUGUUGGUGAGGUAACGGCGUCACCAACGGACGUUC
This 262-nucleotide ribosomal RNA is filed under the name uncultured bacterium. Its description in RNAcentral is "partial 16S ribosomal RNA". It matches the Rfam family "Bacterial small subunit ribosomal RNA", at positions 29 to 280 of the family's 1533-position model. The record is from RNAcentral.